RNAcentral lists this long non-coding RNA (6543 nucleotides) under Podarcis lilfordi (Lilford's wall lizard). Lineage: Eukaryota; Metazoa; Chordata; Lepidosauria; Squamata; Lacertidae. The record is from RNAcentral.
CAGUGUUGGGUUACUUAAAGAGCAGAACAUUUUGUUGCCUGAAUUCUUGGAAGGGUUGAUGGAAUCUGUAGACCUCGUGAGUCUGCAAAAUUGCUGCCUAACACACCUAAAAUUCCUAAAGCUGAAUCCGUUUGAACUCUUUUUAUCCAAUAUUCCUCCAUAUUGCAUAAAACAUAUUGGGUGCUCUGUCUGUGUUCCCACCUCAACAGUAGUUAGCCUUUCAAAAUAGCAUUUGUUGUUGUUUAGUAGUUUAGUCGUGUCCGACUCUUCAUGACCCCAUGGACCAGAGCACGCCAGGCACUCCUGUCUUCCACUGCCUCCCGCAGUUUGGUCAGACUCAUGUUCGUAGCUUCGAGAACACUAUCCAACCAUCACAUCCUCUGUCAUUCCCUUCUCCUUGUGCUCUCCAUCUUUCCCAACAUCAGGGUCUUUUCCAGGGAGUCUUCUCUUCUCAUGAGGUGGCCAAAGUACUGGCGCCUCAGCUUCAGGAUCUGUCCUUCCAGUGAGCACUCAGGGCUGAUAUAAUAGCAUUUACAGAGCUGAUAUAAUAGCAUUUAAAAUAGCAUUUACACCAGUCCAAAGUGCUUGCUUUUUAAAUGUUUUUUAAUUUAUUUUUUAUAAUGCUUUUUAUUAGUUUUCUUACGUUUUACAAAUUGUUCCAUUUCUUACAAAUAACAGACACAAACACACAAAAUAAAAAAUGGGGGGGGGAGGAAGAACACCCAUCCAUACACCCAUAAGUUCUGAAAAUAUAAUUUAUGACACCAUAUUCUUAAUUCCCAAUUAUUUAACCUGAUGGACUUCCAUCUUCCUCAAUGCGAGUCUGUCUUAUCUUUUUGUUAAUCUGCUUCUUUGGUCAUUUUCCCAUUUCCUCUGUUAUCUGUAUGCUAUACUUAUAAUCUGUCUUGUAAUUUGCGAAAAUUAAUCAAAGCAUGUCCAGGUUUUGACCUGGGGACACUGUUUUUUUAAAAUAUUCUCUAUAAGUUUCCCACUCUUUUUUGAACUUUUGGUUUGGCUGUCUCCUAAUUGUCUCUGUCAUUUUUGCUAAUUCUAGAUAUUUAAAUAGUUUAUUCUGCCAUUCCUCUUUUGUUGAUAUUGAUUCUCCUUUCCAUUUUUUUGCAAUCAGUAUUCUUGCUGCUGUUGUAGCAUAUAGAAAUAUUCUCCUUUUUUUUAUUUAUUUGGAAUAUCUGAAUCUAAAAUGCCCAAGAGGAAGGCUUCUGAUUUCUUUGUAAAAGUUUGCUUAAACGUUUUUUUCAAUUCCUCAUAAAUGUCCCAGAAAUUCUUAAUUUUUUUGCAGCCCCAUCACAUAUGAAACUAUGGCCCUUCUGCCUGUUUACACUUCCAGCAAGUAUUAGAUCUCAUUUUAUACAUUUUGGCCAGUUUGCUGGGAGUUAUAUACCACCUAUAGAACAUCUUCUAGAAAUUUUCCUUUAGUGUAUAACAUGCCGUAAAUUUCCAUUCUUUAUUCCAUAAUCUUUCCCAUGCCGACAAUUGGAUAUUCUUACCAAAAUCUUUUGCCCACUUAAUCAUUACUUCUUUCACCUCUUCAUCUUUCACCUCCCACUCUAAAAGAAACUUGUACAUUUUAGAUAUUACUUUUCUUAUUCUGUAUUAAUUCUUUAUCUAAUUUUGAUUCUUCUGUUGCAAAACCUUUUUUCCUGUCUGUCUUUAAAACCUUAUUUAAUUGGUAAUAUUGUAGCCAGUCCAUUAGGUGAUGUCUGAUUUCUUCGAAUUGUUUCACUUUCAAUUGAUUAUCUUCUUCUAAUAGGGCUUUGUACGUGGCCCAAUUUGUUUCCAUUUUUUUUCUUUUCACUGCAAUGGCCUCCAGAGGGGUUAGCCACCAUGGAGUUUUUGGUUCCAAUAAAUCUUUAUACUUCUCCCAUACCUUAUAUAGUGGCUUCCUUAUGAUAUGAUUCAGGAAGCCUCUAUGAAUUUUAACUUUUUCAUAUCCUAGGUAGGCAUGCCACCCAAAGCGAUUAUCGAAACCUUCCAAAUCUAGUAAAUCUGAGUUCUGCAAUGUCAUCCAUUCUUUUAGCCAACAUAAGCAAGCUGAUUCGUAAUAAAAUUUCAGGUCUUUUAAAAUAUAUUUUUCCUUCACCUUAUCACGUGUUGUUUGAAGGUGGUUUAAAAAAUAAGAAUGGAAUAACAAAACAAUCCAAAGGGUUCAAGGGAGGGAGGGCUCCAAGGUGGAGGAGCCACCAAAGGAAGAGCAGAAAAAUGGAAGGGUGGCACUUUAUCUUCUCCCCCUUUUCCAUGUCCUUAUAAAAACAGCUCCUCCCAUUGGAAGGAAAUAUAAGUACACUGGGAUUAAGGCCAGCACACUCUCCUACCCAUUCUCUGUGUGUCAGAGGAACAGGAGAAUCUCCUGGACCCAAAACCUCCACCAGCAUACUCCUUGAAUGUUUCUUUUCCCCUCCUGCUAUUGUCGGGAUACUAAAGGCAGCAGAGGAGAUUCCCAUGGUAGUAGCAGCUCACCAGGUGUGGUGCUGCCAUUUUGCUAGCUUCCUGGCAGGUGGGUCACUAUUGUUUACUGAGAGGUUGAGAGGUGAACUUAUAGGGAGCUCAGUGGGGUGCAAACACAGUGGCAGGAAUGCUGUUCUGCCUGACUGAGACUGACACCUUGCAAGAUGGCUGCCGAACGCUUGACCAACUCUAAGAACUCUGCAUUCUUCUGAUACCAAUCUCUGGACUUCCGGGUUUGCCGCGGCUCAACUCCAAACACGCGUUUCUUGGGCUCCAGAAGACAUGCACUCACCGGGGGGGUGAAACGGGGGUUGUAAGGCUUCACAACCCCUCAGAAGGUUCAGGAGGGCUUCCAGACCUUAGAAGGAUUCGUUGUGAUGUGGGAAGGUCUCCAAAAACAGACCUAGAGGUUCGGGAAGAAGACCACGGGUGUUGGUAACAGCGUUCCCUCCCCCCGGUGAGAAAGCCUACACUGUAUAAAGCAAUUUCACCAAAUUUCAGGCAAAUUUCACAGUUUUAUUUUUUCCAGAAAGUGUCUGAGGUGAAAAAAAGUCUCAGUAAGUUUAUUGGUUUUUGCUUUGGGAUUGUUGUGGGGGGGUUGUGUGUGUUGAUGUUUAUCUCUCUCUCUCUCUCUCUCUCUCUCACACACACACACACACAGAGAGAGAGAGAGAGAGAGAGAGAGCACAACACAAACACACACACCCCAACACAAAAUGAUUCACUGAUGUACAUUUGGGGCCCAUAAUCAAUUUUCUAAUUGAAAACAAAAAGGAACGUGAGCCAACAACAACAACAACAAGUAUUUUAUUGAUUUUUGUCACUUUUUUGACCCACUUUUCAACAUAUUGGGAUGAGUCAUGUCCCAUGGCAUUUUUCAGAGAAAAUGUUGAUCCUGGAAGGCAGUCUUCUUUUGACAGCAUAUCCUUGGUUUCUGGGACACUUCAUUCCCACAAGAUACAUUGGAAUUUAGCUUACAGCUAGAAAAACAUCCCCCCUCCUAUUUAUUCCUAGAUAUAUAAAAAUAUGAGACCAUCACUGUACAGCUUCCAGUGGAGGAUUUGCAGUUGCCCCAUCACUAUUCUGGAUCUGCAUUAAGGUUAGGGGAAGGGAGCACAAGAGGAGUCGGGUUGCAUAACAGCAGAAGAAAAUGAUGGUUUUGAAAAACAGCAGAAGUUUGUUUGAUUAAAGCAUGGUGUUGAGGUACACAGAGGAAAUGGCGGUUUUAAACAGCAAGUUUGAGAAAAGGAGGGACAGGGGGAAACAGAGGGGGAAAGUGAUUUACCAUAAGCAAUGGCAGAAGUUUAAACAGAAUGAGGAGGGAUAACAAUGGGGCGGCAGUUUAGAACAAGGUUUUUGAGUACAUCAUAAAGGUGUAAUGGCAUGUAUGAAUGAGCAUGUGUACAUAAAGGGGGCUGUGGAAUAGGGGAGAGGAUAAGGCAGGGAAAUGGGUGUGAUCUGGGUGGAAGGGAGGGUUAAGAAAAGAAAGGAGGAGGGUGGAGCAAAAGAGAGUGUGAAAGUAAAAAAGUCAUGCAUAGUGGGUACAAAAAAUGACAGAGUAGGAGACAUGGGAAUGGGGCGGAAGCUGAAUGUUUCUGUAGAACACAGAAGCCAACUCCUAGAGCCCAAGGGGUCUUUGCCACCCCCAUAAAAUAUUUGAAGGAGCCCCCCCCCCAGUUAAUGGACAUUGCCAUUCAAAUGGUGUGCAUGCUCCACAUCAAUUAUGCAGGGUGGAACUUACCUGCCCCUGCCCAAAUAUUCUAGCUAGCACCCCUGCUGUACAGUGGGAGGCGGUGGCUUCAUGACUGGGCAGAAAGUGAGAAGGGUGGUUAGUAUUUGCAAUGCAUGGGAAGAAGAAGAUGCAAGAAGUUAGCAUGGAGGUGGUCUGUGUGAACGGGGGAUUGUGAAAAAGGAGAGGGAGGAGGAGACAAUGAGGCAUGAGGCAAAGGUGAGAAUUGAUGCAAAGCAGGUCUGCAGAAUAGAAGAGACAAGUGGCUUUGGAAAUGUGGUUGGGACAGUGAAAAGCAAGCUUGGUAGUUGCAUAAGGCAGGAAGGGGAAGCAGUAGGGGGUUCAUGUGAAGAGAAUGGUGUGGGUGUUGACAAGUGGACAGGAACACAGCACCUAGUGUGUUAAAUUUGUAACUGGCCUGGGUGAAGUUACAGGGGACCUAGUGAAGUUACAGGAGCCAGGAAAGAGAACCGUGUGGGGACUUUACAAGAGCAGGAUGAUUAAACAGGAAAUCCUUGUACACAAUAGGAUGUGAGAAAGCUAAGAACAGAUGCAAUAUUUCCACCACCCCCGUCUUCUUUUCUCUUACUGUUGAGCUUGUAGUAAUUCCCAGACAUUUAAGUUAAAUGAUGCCAGUUUCCUUGUACUGCUUGGACACAGAAUAUGGGUCUAUGGAGACUGUACAGCUCAGAGAUGAGGGACCUGUGGCCCUUGGCAACAACUUGCAUCCUCCCUGACCACUGGCCAUUGUUGCAAGGAAUGAUGGGAACUGGAGUCCAGCGGCAAAUGGAAAGACACAGGUUCGCCACCCCUGCUAUAAACUACUAUGGAUGCUCAUGCCUUGGAAGUACCACUUAAAGUUACAAAUUCUCUUUUCUUCAAUCCAGAACGGAUCACAUACACUGUACCCUGCUAUUAGGGAUUUGAUUCAGUCAUGUUGGCAUGAGGCAGUAAACACGACACAACAGAGACACUUUCACAACUUCACACUUACCUUCAGAAUUGCCCUGCCCCUGCCCCUGCCCCUGCUCCUCAUGUUGAAGAAGUCUUGCUUAAUUCUCUGUGGUCAGUGAAGCAAGAAGUGACCUGCUGUUUAGGAGGAGGGAAGAAAACAAUUACAGGACUUAUUUGACUCAAUUGAAUCUCAGUUUUGAAAAGCAACCCUUGUCAAAAAACACUACAGUAAAUUAAAAUGAAACCCCAUCAGUGGCAUGAAAUAGCUUGUGGUGCAACAUGCUUUUAUGUCAGUAAUAUGCCUUAAAGCAUAUAUAGCCAUAUAAUAGGAUCACCACAUCCGAGGAGGAUGUACAAUGCUAAAAAAAUAAUGCUCAGCUUGUGGGGUUUCUUUUUCUUUUGAAAUAGAGAUAUGAAUCAAGUUUACAUUGCAAAUAAAGUUAAGGGAGAAGCACUGGACAUGAUGACUGUGCAACGUGCUCUUACCAUGCAGUUGGUCAAUUGAUGAAAUCAGACUACUAUUGCGUGCUAGACUCAAUAUUCAUUUUUAAUUGGUCAGGGUUAUGAACCAUGUAGGAAAUAUUCUGAAAUACAGUUCUGAUUAAUAGUUUAUGGACGGGGGGGAGGGGUUGGAUGCUCCAUAACAAGUGCAGUUCCAGAGAAAAGGGGACAAUUGUAGAUGCACCCCAUGUGUAAAGAAAGGGUGUGUGGUGGCUUUAUUUAUUGCUAUAGGUGCUUUCACCUACACCCAGAGAAUCAAUAGAAGAUUGGAAAGACCAACAGAGUUGUUAUGCAAAAUACUGUGUUUCUAAUGUCUGUUCCCUUGAAGACAAUUACAAUUUGUAGCAUUGCACAGCAAACAGUAGCUUUUCAGUUAUUGCUCAUGGUCAGCUUAUGGCCUUUUCCAGUUUAACAGUGCGAUUCUCUCUCUCUCUCUCUCUCUCUCUCUCUCUCUCUCUCUCGUUACAUGCCACUCCAAUCUCUGAGUGGUACAAGAUUCCAGGGGUACCAGGCAUGCUUACCAGGGUCUGUGUUUCCUUUUGGACAAUGUGGCACAACAGAGACUGUAGUGUCUUUAUGAUAUGCAGUUUAUUUACACAUAUAUACAACCUGAGCCUACUGUUGAAUAGGUUCAGAGCAUUACACUCAAGACAAGUUUCAUCUCCCUCAUGUUGGAUCCCAAACUGCCAGCCCCCAUGCUGCUCUGGCCCCCCUUUCUCAUAGCUUGCAAAACACAACUAUUUUUCCUCUUCAGCUUGCAUCAUAGCCCAAUUCUGAUGGGUUAUCUCCCUGCUUUUGUUCCCUGCUAAUGGCCCAUCUUAGUGGCCAUUAUCAGGUUGACCGGUGUUAUUUCUGACCCUUGCUAGAUCCAAAAAUUUGGGAGAUUCUUAAAUUCU